UUAAAUAUUCCAAUAGAGUAGGUCCUG
This 27-nucleotide small RNA is filed under the name Bombyx mori (domestic silkworm). RNAcentral's name for it is "ovarian small RNA-36313". The record is from RNAcentral. Lineage: Eukaryota; Metazoa; Arthropoda; Insecta; Lepidoptera; Bombycidae.